Molecule: unclassified non-coding RNA, 322 nt
Filed under: soil metagenome
Description: partial contains 5.8S ribosomal RNA, internal transcribed spacer 2, and large subunit ribosomal RNA
Rfam family: 5.8S ribosomal RNA (bases 1-120)
Source: RNAcentral
GAUGAAGAACGCAGCGAAAUGCGAUAAGUAAUGCGAAUUGCAGAAUUCAGUGAGUCAUCGAAUCUUUGAACGCACAUUGCGCCAUGUGGUAUUCCGCAGGGCAUGCCUGUUCGAGCGUCAUUUCAACCCUCAAGCUCUGCUUGGUGUUGGGCCACGCCCCCGCGGCCGGCCCCAAAGCUAGUGGCGGUGCCGUCUGGCUCUAAGCGUAGUACAUCUCUCGCUCUAGGGCCCGGCGGUUGCUUGCCAGAACCCACACUCUUAUGGUUGACCUCGGAUCAGGUAGGGAUACCCGCUGAACUUAAGCAUAUCAAUAAGCGGAGGA